RNAcentral lists this ribosomal RNA (492 nucleotides) under uncultured bacterium. RNAcentral's name for it is "partial 16S ribosomal RNA". It matches the Rfam family "Bacterial small subunit ribosomal RNA", at positions 29 to 507 of the family's 1533-position model. The record is from RNAcentral.
AGUGAACGCUGGCGGUAGGCCUAACACAUGCAAGUCGAACGGCAGCACUGUAAGAGCUUGCUCUUACGGGUGGCGAGUGGCGGACGGGUGAGGAAUACAUCGGAAUCUACUUUUUCGUGGGGGAUAACGUAGGGAAACUUACGCUAAUACCGCAUACGACCUACGGGUGAAAGCAGGGGAUCUUCGGACCUUGCGCGAUUGAAUGAGCCGAUGUCGGAUUAGCUAGUUGGCGGGGUAAAGGCCCACCAAGGCGACGAUCCGUAGCUGGUCUGAGAGGAUGAUCAGCCACACUGGAACUGAGAAACGGGCCAGACUCCUACGGGAGGCAGCAGUGGGGAAUAUUGGACAAUGGGCGCAAGCCUGAUCCAGCCAUACCGCGUGGGUGAAGAAGGCCUUCGGGUUGUAAAGCCCUUUUGUUGGGAAAGAAAAGCAGCAGGUUAAUACCCCGCUGUUCUGACGGUACCCAAAGAAUAAGCACCGGCUAACUUCGUG